CAGGAGAAACCACAUACGUGUAUGAACAGCGAAGCCCACGACGAGAUAACCGAACAACACGGCAUCAUGGCAAAUGUGAAGAGCUGUAUCCUCAUCGGUAUUAUCGGACUGACUAUGAUGUCGCCGGUUCUGGGAGCCGUCAGUUGCGACUCUUGCCCACAGUGCAUCAUCAUCAGACCAAUCUGCGCAACGUUUACAUCACAGUACGCCACUAACAACCGCCGAAGCUUCCUCAGCGAGUGUCACAUGCGCUGUUACAACAAAUGCCAUGGAACACAGUAUUUCAAACUCUACGAGGGAUCGAAGUGCGUUUAGGAAAUGCAGUUGCAAGAGGAAGCGGUUUGCCGGAACUUCCGGGUACCAACAAGACCAAACGCAUGAAGACUGGCUUUUUCCCACCUGCUACAGUGCUAAAUACAAAAUAGUGAACGAUAAUCUAUAUGCUAUAUCAACAAGGAGUUAGUUACAAAUACAGAAAAGUACAAAGCCGAUAAAGAUAACCGUUUGUAACAGGCGCGUAUGACUGAAAUUCACAAGAUAAUUCUGAGGUCAAAUGAAUUCAAGUCGCAGGCGAUCACUAUCGGCUGUUCUUGUAGCUUGUUCCAGUUUUAAUAAAAUUGUAGUUUUGCAUU
This is a long non-coding RNA of Cryptotermes secundus, 632 nucleotides long. RefSeq lists it as uncharacterized. NCBI's taxonomy places the organism in Eukaryota, Metazoa, Arthropoda, Insecta, Blattodea, Kalotermitidae. The record is from RefSeq and is a predicted model, not a curated record. The transcript has 3 exons.